UACGUAGGGGGCAAGCGUUGUCCGGAAUCAUUGGGCGUAAAGCGCGUGUAGGCGGCCCGGUAAGUCCGCUGUGAAAGUCGGGGGCUCAACCCUCGAAUGCCGGUGGAUACUGUCGGGCUAGAGUGCGGGAGAGGUGAGUGGAAUUCCUGGUGUAGCGGUGAAAUGCGCAGAUAUCAGGAGGAACACCAAUUGCGAAGGCAGCUCGCUGGAACGUAACUGACGCUGAGACGCGAAAGCGUGGGGAGCAAACAGG
This 253-nucleotide ribosomal RNA is filed under the name uncultured bacterium. RNAcentral's name for it is "partial 16S ribosomal RNA". It matches the Rfam family "Bacterial small subunit ribosomal RNA", at positions 524 to 776 of the family's 1533-position model. The record is from RNAcentral.